UACUGUCGUAAUCUCUAGGCUAUCUCGCUAAUUCCUAGCGUCCGUGCGAGUACAAUGCGCAAAUAAAGGCAGUAAAUCAUCCUAUUUGUAAAUAUCGUACUUUUCUCUUCAUCCAACUUUAAGCGCACAUCCUCGAAAUGCUUGAAUAACUUGCUUGCUCAUAUAAAAAAAACAAAAUAAUAUUAACCACGCUCGGUUUAUAUUUAUUUUGUCACCAAAUCAUGAAUUUUAUUCGCUGUAAUUUUUCCAGACGAUAAAUCACCGCUGGCGCAGAUAAAAAUUCGUGACGCGAUUAAUUUACUCGCGCAACUCGCUGGCUUUAAAAGCGUUUGAUACGAGGACUCGAACGUCAUCAAAUAUCGGAUUUAACCGAUGCGUGUCGACGUUAUUGACUUUGAAGCUAAAAUUUCACAUGGCCGCUGCCGGCUGUUAUUUAAAAGUGCAUGCCAUCGCCCUCGAUGGUUGUCGACUAAACAUAAUUAAAAUUUGUUUCAGAUUGAAUAGAGACGAGUGGAGCAGUUAACUUCGAGGACUUCGAAAUAGAUAUGUGCGUCGAAGAUCAACCGGACGUUGUUCGCCAAUGACGCAGGCAACGGAGACGAGGUGC
Long non-coding RNA from Ooceraea biroi (clonal raider ant), 607 nucleotides. RefSeq lists it as uncharacterized. The record is from RefSeq and is a predicted model, not a curated record. NCBI's taxonomy places the organism in Eukaryota, Metazoa, Arthropoda, Insecta, Hymenoptera, Formicidae.